CCCCGGGGAUAACAGGCUGAUCUUCCCCAAGAGUCCAUAUCGACGGGAUGGUUUGGCACCUCGAUGUCGGCUCGUCGCAUCCUGGGGCUGGAGUAGGUCCCAAGGGUUGGGCUGUUCGCCCAUUAAAGCGGUACGCGAGCUGGGUUUAGAACGUCGCGAGACAGUUCGGUCCCUAUCCGCUGCGCGCGUAGGAGACUUGAAAGGGGCUGUCCCUAGUACGAGAGGACCGGGACGGACGAACCUCUGGUGUGCCAGUUGUACCGCCAGGUGCAUGGCUGGUUGGCUACGUUCGGAAGGGAUAACCGCUGAAAGCAUCUAAGCGGGAAGCUCGCCUUGAGAUGAGGUCUCCCACCCUGUGAGGGGGUAAGGCUCCCGGUAGACGACCGGGUUGAUAGGCCGGAGGUGGAAGCGCGGUAACGUGUGGAGCUGACCGGUACUAAUAGGCCGAGGACUUGACCACAA
Molecule: ribosomal RNA, 462 nt
Filed under: Nonomuraea montanisoli
Lineage: Bacteria; Bacillati; Actinomycetota; Actinomycetes; Streptosporangiales; Streptosporangiaceae
Description: Nonomuraea sp. SMC257 partial 23S ribosomal RNA
Rfam family: Bacterial large subunit ribosomal RNA
Source: RNAcentral